This 488-nucleotide ribosomal RNA is filed under the name uncultured bacterium. RNAcentral's name for it is "bacterial SSU rRNA". It matches the Rfam family "Bacterial small subunit ribosomal RNA", at positions 9 to 490 of the family's 1533-position model. The record is from RNAcentral.
GAGUUUGAUCGUGGCUCAGAUUGAACGCUGGCGGCAGGCCUAACACAUGCAAGUCGAGCGGUAGAGAGAAGCUUGCUUCUCUUGAGAGCGGCGGACGGGUGAGUAAUGCCUAGGAAUCUGCCUGGUAGUGGGGGAUAACGCUCGGAAACGGACGCUAAUACCGCAUACGUCCUACGGGAGAAAGCAGGGGACCUUCGGGCCUUGCGCUAUCAGAUGAGCCUAGGUCGGAUUAGCUAGUUGGUGAGGUAAUGGCUCACCAAGGCGACGAUCCGUAACUGGUCUGAGAGGAUGAUCAGUCACACUGGAACUGAGACACGGUCCAGACUCCUACGGGAGGCAGCAGUGGGGAAUAUUGGACAAUGGGCGAAAGCCUGAUCCAGCCAUGCCGCGUGUGUGAAGAAGGUCUUCGGAUUGUAAAGUACUUUAAGUUAGGGAGGAAGGGCAGUAAAUUAAUAACUUUGCUGUUUUGACGUUACCGACAGAAUAAG